RNAcentral lists this ribosomal RNA (466 nucleotides) under uncultured bacterium. RNAcentral's name for it is "partial 16S ribosomal RNA". It matches the Rfam family "Bacterial small subunit ribosomal RNA", at positions 28 to 507 of the family's 1533-position model. The record is from RNAcentral.
GAUGAACGCUGGCGGCGUGCUUAACACAUGCAAGUCGAACGAUGAAGCCCAGCUUGCUGGGUGGAUUAGUGGCGAACGGGUGAGUAACACGUGAGUAACCUGCCCUUAACUCUGGGAUAAGCCUGGGAAACUGGGUCUAAUACCGGAUAGGAGCGCCUACCGCAUGGUGGGUGUUGGAAAGAUUUAUCGGUUUUGGAUGGACUCGCGGCCUAUCAGCUUGUUGGUGAGGUAACGGCUCACCAAGGCGACGACGGGUAGCCGGCCUGAGAGGGUGACCGGCCACACUGGGACUGAGACACGGCCCAGACUCCUACGGGAGGCAGCAGUGGGGAAUAUUGCACAAUGGGCGAAAGCCUGAUGCAGCGACGCCGCGUGAGGGAUGACGGCCUUCGGGUUGUAAACCUCUUUCAGUAGGGAAGAAGCGAAAGUGACGGUACCUGCAGAAGAAGCACCGGCUAACUACGUG